GGGAGGCAGCAGUGGGGAAUCUUAGACAAUGGGCGCAAGCCUGAUCUAGCCAUGCCGCGUGUGUGAUGAAGGCCUUAGGGUCGUAAAGCACUUUCGCCAGGGAUGAUAAUGACAGUACCUGGUAAAGAAACCCCGGCUAACUCCGUGCCAGCAGCCGCGGUAAUACGGAGGGUGCGAGCGUUAAUCGGAAUUACUGGGCGUAAAGCGUACGUAGGCGGAUUGGAAAGUAGGGGGUGAAAUCCCAGGGCUCAACCCUGGAACUGCCUCCUAAACUAUCAGUCUAGAGUUCGAGAGAGGUAAGUGGAAUUCCGAGUGUAGAGGUGAAAUUCGUAGAUAUUCGGAGGAACACCAGUGGCGAAGGCGGCUUACUGGCUCGAUACUGACGCUGAGGUGCGAAAGUGUGGGGAGCAAACAGGAUUAGAUACUCUGGUAGUCCACACCGUAAACGAUGAAUGCCAGACGUCAGGGGGCUUGCCCUUUGGUGUCACACCUAACGGAUUAAGCAUUCCGCCUGGGGAGUAGCGGUCGCAAGGAUUAAAAACUCAAA
RNAcentral lists this ribosomal RNA (547 nucleotides) under uncultured bacterium. RNAcentral's name for it is "bacterial SSU rRNA". It matches the Rfam family "Bacterial small subunit ribosomal RNA", at positions 343 to 905 of the family's 1533-position model. The record is from RNAcentral.